UGGGGAAUAUUGGACAAUGGGGGAAACCCUGAUCCAGCCAUACCGCGUGUGUGAAGAAGGCCUUCGGGUUGUAAAGCACUUUCAGUGGGGAGGAAAAGGUUCUGGCUAAUAUCCAGGAUCCCUGACGUUACCCAAAGAAGAAGCACCGGCAAACUCCGUGCCAGCAGCCGCGGUAAUACGGAGGGUGCAAGCGUUAAUCGGAAUUACUGGGCGUAAAGCGCACGUAGGCGGUUUGGUAAGCUGGAUGUGAAAUCCCCGGGCUCAACCUGGGAACUGCAUCCAGAACUGCCAGGCUAGAGUAUGGUAGAGGGCAGUGGAAUUUCCGGUGUAGCGGUGAAAUGCGUAGAUAUCGGAAGGAACACCAGUGGCGAAGGCGGCUGCCUGGACCAAUACUGACGCU
This 400-nucleotide ribosomal RNA is filed under the name uncultured bacterium. Its description in RNAcentral is "bacterial SSU rRNA". It matches the Rfam family "Bacterial small subunit ribosomal RNA", at positions 355 to 747 of the family's 1533-position model. The record is from RNAcentral.